Molecule: long non-coding RNA, 904 nt
Organism: Drosophila simulans
Lineage: Eukaryota; Metazoa; Arthropoda; Insecta; Diptera; Drosophilidae
Exons: 2
Source: RefSeq, a predicted model, not a curated record
AUUUAGUUCCAAAAUGUUUGGAAUACAUAAAUACUAUGACUUUCAGAGCUUGAUUACACUUCAAUAUAAAGAUUCCGAGAAACCAACGAAAUGCCAUGAAAUGACCUUAAAACUAUGCGGGUUAUUGCAGAAAUGGUAUUUGGAAGCCCAACCCAGUUGCAAUAUAUUAUCAACGGCCCGUUUGGACCGUAUCUGUACAUCAACGACGGCUUAGAAAACCGAAAGCUAUUGGCUCCAGAAUUAGCAUCAGGAUCGAGGACGAAAAUAGUCCAGAAACAUUUUGAUGGAUGUCGACCAACUACAGAGCUUCAAAACAAGCACUUGAAACCCAUGGGAGAGCGUGACGGAGAUCUCGAUAUGGUUGGCGUAUGUAUGUGACACUGAAAGAAGAGCCUGAUCCAAAAUGUAGAAAAGCCGAAACACACAGCGGCACUUGUCAAGACUUGGCUCGUCUGGAAAUGCCCUCACGUAUUUAGAAAUUACGCCAGCAGUCCGCAGACAUGUAAUCAAAAAUUUGACAGCCUUAAAGACGGAUUUGCUUUUAUCUUUCUUAGUCUAGCAGCAAUUUCCCAACUGCGCGAAACAAGCUGUGACCUACGGUAGUUUGAGUGAAUAAAUGUUUAUAAAUAAAGAGUAUAAGCUUUAAUUGUACCUUUAGUAUCAACAAUUUGAGGACGUUUUACUUAAAAUGGUGGUCAAAUGACUUUGAACAUAAAAACCUUUCAAUACUAAGGAGACGUAAUCGGCUCGAUUUCCGAGUUCUCGCUAAUCAAAACUUUAGUUGAAUACCGACCUUAUUGCAAAAUGAAAAUUACAAAGUCUGUUUAUGUUGGGCACAUUUUUUUUGUUUACUGAAAUUAUAUCAAAUAUUAUUUCAUUCCGUACAAUUUCCAAACAAUAAAAU